Long non-coding RNA from Pezoporus occidentalis (night parrot), 2264 nucleotides. RefSeq lists it as uncharacterized. The record is from RefSeq and is a predicted model, not a curated record. The transcript is spliced from 4 exons. NCBI's taxonomy places the organism in Eukaryota, Metazoa, Chordata, Aves, Psittaciformes, Psittacidae.
GCAGGUGGGUUCUCAUGAGAGCAGAGUACAGGGGCAGGAUUGUCUCCUUUAACAUUCUGGUCAUAAUCGUCUUAAUGCAGCCCAGGACACAGGUGGUUUCUGAACUACAAGAGCACAUUACCAGUUCAUGUUGAGCUCGUCAACCGACACCCCCAAGUCCUUCUCAGCUGCUCUCAAUCUUGUCUCCACCCAGCAUUUAUUUGUGCUUAGGACUUCUACCCAUGUUUGUAGCUAUGGCUGCUCUUUCCUGAAAGUACUAUCAGGUUCUUAGAUCUUUUCUUGAGGCUUCAUCAGUCUUUCAUCUUGCCUCUGGUUUAAGAAAGCGGUUUCUACAGGCUUUUGUCUUUUUUUGUUUGUGAUUUCAGACAACCUGACAUCUUUAAAUUUCAUCUAUCUUUUUCAGUUGUACUGGUAUUUAAGGGUCUUUUCUUAAUCUUCCAUUUUUCCUGUGCUGGAAAACAAUCCAACUUGACCCUAUUGCGGUGAUUUUUUACAUGUGCAUAAUGAUGUAUUCAAAAGAUAGUCAAAAAUUCUUAAAUUUUAAGCAGAUGUUUUUUGCAGUCAUUUGCUGCAAAGACCCAAGAGCAGGUGAAGACACUGGGAACCUCUGAGAGGCUGGAAAGAAAUAAUUCUUCAAAACUGCUUUCAGAAAUUCAGCUGCACAAUCCCUCACUGUCUGGCACUCCUUCAGAAAAAAAACAGACUGCAGAUACUGUUUAGCUAUCAAGAUACUUAAUCUCAGAGCCUCAGGAAAACAUAAAAUACUUCCUCAGAAUGGAUUUUCCUAAGACCUUUACAUGGCCCUAGUUCUAACUCGAACAUUUUUGCAAGAUACAGCAGGCUGCAUGCUCUAGCAUUGUAUCUCGUCAGGAAGAGAUUCAAAGAAUGAAAAGCACUGAGAACAGUGAGUUGCUGAGAAAUGGAAGUUCACAAGUUGGUUAUUUCUGUAUGUGUUUUCUUAAUUAUAAUUUCUACAGACAGAAACACUGGAGGAGGGAGCUAUUGAAUCAUGGAGUAAAGGGAGAAGUAAAACAUAGAAGGAAAAGUUUGGGGUAUAACACAACAAUGAAGUCUUAAAACCUGGUGAUGUGAUGCCACUUAAUUCCCACUCCAGACUAACCCCUUCAUUCUACUGGCAAAAGCAGAUAUAUUCCUUGAUGAAACUCCCACCCUCUCCCAGGUCUCUUUUCAGCUGUCGCAGCUCAUCCUGGUUUAUCAUUCAGUUGCCUGUAUGCUUGGACCAGUUAUAUAAGGCAGCAAUAUACAGAUAAUAUGGGAGUUGGUAGACCCCCCCUUUCAGCAGUGAUAUCAUGCAUGUGAGCUUAAACUGAACAUAAAGCAACAGCAGAAAACUCUGGAGGAGAUGGGUUACUGUUUAAAUAAUUUGUCUAUCAAGUACAGUGCUUUAGAGACUCACAGUGUCUGGUUAAAUUCCUAGCUCUAGUGAGAAUCUUAGCAGAGUCUCAACAAGAAUUUCAGUUGAUCCAGGGAUUCAAAGGCAUUGCCUUAAGAGGUUUCAACAUUACCUGAAAAAAGAAAACCCUGCCUGCAUAGAGCUAUACUUGUGUGCAGUCUCAAAGGUGUUCCAGGCAGUAAGUCCAUACCAACAUACAGUCAGGAAUUAAGAAUUUGGUAGAAUUUAUGAGCAAUAAAAAUCAUACAGGAACCAAGUAGAGAGCAGCAUAGGUAGGAACUGCCUGCUAAGAUGACAUUGAUGCCUCUUUUUUUUUUUCCCCCGAUUUAUACCUCUUUAGCUUGAUUUCUAAAACAAGCCAUAGGGUCAUCUUGCUGACUUUUGCCCUGGAUAAGCAUUCUUCGUGUACUGUGAAAGGAAUUCUGCACUGAAGAAGUGUAUAUGUAAAAUAUACCUUUUUACAUAUGUAAAAGGUGCAGAAAAGAAAAUGGGUACGUGCCAGCAGAGAAACACAGUAGGGGAAUUUAUCCUUGUUGCUUCUCGGAAACAAUUGCAAAAUCAAAAAGAAAAGCUGUUCUCUGUUGAGACUCUGCUGCUCAUAGUUUCCAUUGCUGCGUGGUGAAUUGCAGGGGUUUGUGACAGGUUUGUUCAGUGAACUUACCGCACGUGUACUGUUACUCUGUUGAUGGCUGAAGUGACUGAGGUGCCUGAGGCUCUAGUUAGGAAGUGGGUGACACAGGUAGCAGAGACUUCCUCCUCUCUGUGUUGUCAGGAACACUGGGCAUAGAAAUCUUCACUUCUUGUUAGACAUCUUCAGUCAGUCUGGAAUUAGAUCUAUAAAUAAAUUAAA